Molecule: ribosomal RNA, 253 nt
Filed under: uncultured bacterium
Lineage: Bacteria
Description: partial 16S ribosomal RNA
Rfam family: Bacterial small subunit ribosomal RNA
Source: RNAcentral
UACGUAGGGGGCAAGCGUUGUCCGGAAUUAUUGGGCGUAAAGAGCGUGUAGGCGGCUUGGUAGGUCCGCUGUGAAAACUCGAGGCUCAACCUCGAGAUGUCGGCGGAAACCACUUGGCUAGAGUCCGGAAGAGGAGAGUGGAAUUCCUGGUGUAGCGGUGAAAUGCGCAGAUAUCAGGAAGAACACCUAUGGCGAAGGCAGCUCUCUGGGACGGUACUGACGCUGAGACGCGAAAGCGUGGGGAGCGAACAGG